This is a non-coding RNA of Hemicordylus capensis (graceful crag lizard), 72 nucleotides long. Lineage: Eukaryota; Metazoa; Chordata; Lepidosauria; Squamata; Cordylidae. The record is from the annotation of a RefSeq genome assembly.
GCUGCUGUGGAUUAGUGGAAGAGCAUCUGCUUGGCAUGCAGAUGGCCCCAGGUUCAAUCCCUGGCAGCAUCU